This is a long non-coding RNA of Aricia agestis (brown argus), 137 nucleotides long. RefSeq lists it as uncharacterized. The record is from RefSeq and is a predicted model, not a curated record. The transcript has 3 exons. NCBI's taxonomy places the organism in Eukaryota, Metazoa, Arthropoda, Insecta, Lepidoptera, Lycaenidae.
ACAUUUAAUGAUUUAGGGUGAAGGCAAACGAGCGCAAUUUGUGAGUUAUGAGUCGCAGAAUUUCGGUCGCGUAAAUAUCUUUUCAUACAAAUCAUGACUCACAAAAUUACGCUCGUGUGAAUCAAACAGGACUUCUG